AAACAAAGGAGUCAGUACCUUGGAGUCAUUACCCACUUUCCUUAUAUCUCUAAUCAUACAUUAAUUAUGCUUAUUUUUCAUUCAUAGUUUUCUAUGACUCCUUAUUUCCCAUGAUACAUCCAUAUCAGACCUAUUACUCCUUUGGAUCUAUUUGUUUGCAGGAUCAAUUCUCAUUAGGACUUUAGGUUACUAGUUGUGGGAGAGGGGCAGGAGAGCUUGGGAGAGGCAAUUAUUCACUAGACACGAAAACCUCUCCCCUCACCUUUUUGUCCUUAUCUCUUCCUCUUGGGUACUUUCUUGGUUUCCACUUUGUCCUCCUGUUUUCCUCUCCAACGAUGAGAUCAGGGUUGGUAAUAGAGGUCAAGUGUCUGUCUUACCUUAGGCAGCUGCCCCUUAUCCCUCUUCCCGUUCUAAUGAUCAGCAAAGAAAGAAAUGAGCAGAUGAGGGAUCAGAAGAAGAGAAACAAGGACACCGAAAGGUGUCUGGAAGGCCUUCAGGGCAGGGGUCUGGAGGCAGAGACUUGAGAUUCAACGCCAAGAAGGAUGAGAUGCUUGACUGGGCCAGUCAUUCACCUUUCUGGGCCUCAGUUAUAACAGCUGUAAAAUCAGAGGAACAGACUGGAUGUGCUCGAAGCCUGGCUCUGGGGUUCUACGAGUUUAUGAAUUAGGAAAUGGCAGUUUACAAUUUGAAAAUGCUGCAGGAUGUUUGCAAAGUUAAUUUACUCAAAACAAAACAACAAAUAACACCACAACAAAACCCUUCCUGUGAUCUAUGUAUUUAUACCCCAUCACUGAUGCCAUUGUGUAUGAAUAACUUAUUAGAACCAAUCAAAAAAAGAAAAAGCACCAAAGGGCAAAAUGAUGAAGUCGGCAAUGAUGCCACCAGGCUCAUUCUGGUAGGAAGAAGAAUUCCAUCUAGUCAUUUGUUCCAGCCAUCAUUCAUUCAGUGGACAUCUUUGGAGGACCUGCUGUGUGCUGGCAUGAUGCAUACACAGAGCUGGCUAGAGCAGUGUCUCAGUCCUACAACUGCAAGAACAAAAUGUUGUCAACAGCAUGAAUUUGGAAGCAGAUUCCUCCCCAGAGCCUCCAAAGAAGAACGUGGCUCCACCAACACCCUGAUUUGGCCUUAUGGAACCUGGAGCAGAGAAACCAAUUGAGCCAAGAUCUGCCCAGACUUCUGACCCAUGGAUGUGGCAAGAUAAUAAAUGAGUGUUGUAGUAAGACUUUAUUUGUGGAAACUUGUUUUUAUAGUAAUAGAAGAUCAAAAUGCUAUAUUAAUAUGUUCAAGUUCAGGCUAAGAAAAUAGUCUCAGGAAAAAACCAAACAAACCACAGUUGUACAUGAGCACACCUCCCCUUCCUCCAAACAGAAUUCAAGAGACAAGGACAGUGGAACACCAGAUAGGUCAUUCAAGCACCAACUGUUAGCUGUAAGAUAUAAUGAAAAGCAAACAUCUGGUUCUUUGCAUAAUUUUGAUCAAAGGAGCAUAACAUGUGUUGUACACAUUUGGAGGAAAACCAAUUGCAUUAGGAUUUUCAUCAGGGAACAACUGUACAGGUGUCAAACAGGGGUCCGGGACACCGAGCCACUACUCCACGCUUCAUGUUUUUGUGAUCGAGGAAAGAAUUGCACAUCUAACUGGGGUGAGGGGGUGAGCAGUCAUCAAGUGCCCAAUAAAAGGUCCAGGCUUCCUCAGUAGGGUGUAAAAUGUGAUGGAAUGAAAAGAAAGACGAAAGAGAGGAGAGCUUUAUAUGUGGCCUCUUUAUAUGCUCAUUGCUCACCUGCAGUUGACACACAUCUGCUGGCUGCUGCUCAGGCCAGUAUUCCUGCAGUGCUCUUAUCAUGUGUUAGUUUUAUUUAUACUUUAUUUAUUUUUUGAGAUGGAGUCUUUCACUGUUGCUGUUGCUCAGGCUGGAGUGCAGUGGUGCGAUCUCAGCUCACUACAGCCUCUGCCUCCUGAGUUCAAGCAAUUCUCCUGCCUCAGCUUACGAAGUAGCUGGGAUUACAGGUGUGUGCCACCAUGCCCAGCUAAUUUUUGUAUUUCUAGUAAAGACCAUCUUGGCCAUAGUGGUCUUGAACUUGUAAUCUCAUGUGGUUUGCCUGCCUUGGCCUCCCAAAGUGCUGGCAUCACAGGUGUGAGCCACUGUGCCCGGGCUAUUUAUACUUUAUAAGAGCUCCUUUCAGAAGCUAGGGAACUUGAGUAUAACAUCCAUAUAGCUUUAUAAUGGAAUUAUGCUGUUUCUGCUGACUUAGUAUCUUUUCUUCUGUUAAUAACUGUUUGGCAGAGGAGUCAUUCCUGCAUCUCCCCUCAUAGUUUUGUUCCCCUGACUGUUUGGCAGAGGAGUCAUUCCCCCAUCUCCCCUCAUAGUUUUUGUUUGAAUCAGUCAUGACCCCUCCUUGUGGAUCUGUGGUUGGGCAUACAUGAUCCGGGGCUGGCUCAUCCAUUUGUAUUUUUUUCUCUUGCCAUAGGAAUUUGUUUGCAGAUGUGGCAAAACAAAAACAAACACAAAACAGUUCAAAGAACACCAGGACUUUUUCUGGGACUGUUGCAAUGGCAUACCCUCUUUCCAAUGGCAUUGCUUAACUGGUAGGAUGUACGCUCAGAUCACUGGUAAUCCUCUUGCCAUUUAUGUGACAAGGGCCUCUCUGGAAGUGAAGUCAGCACAGACAAAGCGGAACUGAGAAAAUGAGAUGAAACAGCUACUUGACACCAUUGUCUGAGCAUCUAGAUUCAGCUGAGUCUCUGCAUUUUACCCUGGACUUUUUCAGUGCCUUGGUUUAAACUGACUUGAAAUGGGUUUUUCUCCCUAGACAUAGAAAGAAUCCUGACAAACCUACUUCAGUUAGCAUGUCAAUGCUGAUGACUCGCAAGUCUGUAAUCAUCUGUAAUAAUCCAUUUGCAGUUACCUUUAGAGUAUUGACGCUGGAGGCAACUUCUGACACAAGACUUGAAUGUGUUUAAAGUUUAGCUGAGUUGGGUGCCAUGGCUCACACCUAUAAUCCCAGCACUCUGAGAAGCUGAGGUGGGUGGAUCACCUGAGGUCAGGAGUUUGAGACCAGCAUGGCCAACAUGGUGAAACCCCAUCUCUACUAAAACAUACAAAAAUUAGCCGGGCAUGUUGGCAGGUGCCUGUAAUCCCAGCUACUUGGGAAGCUGAGGCAGGAGAAUCACUUGAACCUGGGAGGCAGAGGUUGCAGCGAGCUGAGAUUGUGCCAUUGCACUCCAGCCCGGGCAACAGAGUGAGACUCUGUC
Molecule: long non-coding RNA, 3252 nt
Organism: Callithrix jacchus (white-tufted-ear marmoset)
Lineage: Eukaryota; Metazoa; Chordata; Mammalia; Primates; Cebidae
Source: Ensembl